Molecule: small RNA, 396 nt
Filed under: Arabidopsis thaliana (thale cress)
Lineage: Eukaryota; Viridiplantae; Streptophyta; Magnoliopsida; Brassicales; Brassicaceae
Description: ATSL164130
Source: RNAcentral
CAUCCAUUUGCCAUGGGUCCCACCUGUAGGAAUACCCAAUCUUGUUUAUAAGAGCUUUGAUACAUGCAAAAUAUUCGAAAACAACGUCCGAACAUAUAAUUUUCGCCCCGUAAUAUAGCAAAGAUCACGAAAAGGCCCGAAAAAGUACAUUAAGGUCAAAAUUUGGAAUAGAAAAAAAAACCAAAAGAAGUAUUCCAUUGUCCUUUGUCAUUCAUCGAAGAGCUCUCUUUGGGCUUUCCGAAAAGGUAUCGCAAGCCAAGUUUGGCCUCACGGUUUAAAAGUUAUAAAGUCAUACAUUUUUAACAAAAAAAAAAAGAGAAAAAACCGAAAAAAAGAGGGAUGCAACACGAGGACUUUUCUGGAGGUCACCCAUCCUAGUACUACUCUCGCCCGAUC